Pangasianodon hypophthalmus (striped catfish) is the source of this 4723-nucleotide long non-coding RNA. RefSeq lists it as uncharacterized. Lineage: Eukaryota; Metazoa; Chordata; Actinopteri; Siluriformes; Pangasiidae. The record is from RefSeq and is a predicted model, not a curated record. The transcript is spliced from 3 exons.
AAGUCUGUGUGCAGUGUCACGUGUGUGAAGUGUAAUUCGCAUCACAGUGACUCUUUGAUUUAACAGCUCUGUGAAUCAGGAGGUGUGUGUGUGUGUGUGUGUGUAUGUUACUCUGCUGUACAGCUUUAUGAAGAUUUUCGUUCAUCACCGGGAGAGAGCUGCUCGAGCCGCGCGCGCGCCCGCUGCUGUCCCGCUGGGCGUGUGUGUGCGCUGAACGGGAAUUUAAAUCGGGAAUUUUAAUCGGGAAUUUGAGAGGAUGUGGAUGUGGGUUUUGGGUUGAGACACAAUGAAUAAAGACAUCCAGUAGACUACUGAGUCUUCGACACAUGGUUUGCUUUGCAAGAAUGUCCAAGGUCCGAGUUCUUCUUUUUCUCGUAAAGCACUUCGUGUUUUCUCUUCUGUCUGCGAGCAUCACUAAAGGUCACAGCACAGGCAGACCAGAGGUGCCGUUACCCACUGAGGGAGUGUCAUAUGGCAGUGGCCUUCACUCUGUGCUGCAGGAUUCGGUCUCACCAGCCUUUGGUGCCACCAUCAUAAUUAUCGUCACCGUGAUUGUGAGUGGAAGUGCCUACCUCUGCUUUCUCAAGUAUGUUUGUGCUGGCUGCUGCAAACCCACACAAGUGGCUCCUGUCAGUAAUACGAACCCCAACAAGAGUGAGGAGCAAGUGUAGUGAGGACUUUGUUCAAAAGCUGCUAUACAAUAUUAUUACAAUUACACUUUUAACCCCAAAUCCCAUAGGGCACUGAGGCUAUGUCAAUGGAGAGAGCAUAAAAACGAAAAGAGAAAGCUAAUUUGGGACUGCUGAUCUCUUUCUAACACUGAUUUGAAUAUAUUUCUUUAGCAAAUCUGUACCAUUAGAGAGCAUUACUUCCACAGCAAUUAAUUAUUGUUCAUGUUCUGUUAACUACAAAGGAGUGGAUUCUUCUCUACAGAUUUAAAAACAAGGGUAAUGCAAUAUAUAUUAAAAUAUGUAGAGAAUCAUCAUAUCUCUACAUAGCUUAUCAUAUUCUUAUCAGUUCUUAUAAAUACCAGUCAUGUAAAAUUUAAGAUAUAUACAGUAGGUUAUUUAUAUACAUAUUAUACAAUAUUAGUGGUAUGUUCAGUUAAAUGUAACUUAGACUGGUGCAGCAAACAACAGAGACUGGUGCUUGUUCAGUGUAUUUUCGUGUCAUGAUUGCCUUUUUUCACAACAUGAUUCAUCAUCAAAAAUGUGGUGAUUUAAGUGUUGGCAUUUUGUGUUUGUUGACAUUAAUUAACGUUAAAUUGUAACGUUAAAUUUGAUUGUGCUUAGCCUUCAGUAGUUUGUUAAUGUAAUGUUCAGAAACCUGUUGUAUCUGAUCUCACUUGGAUUUUUUUCUAUAAAAGGUCGCAAACCCUGUACUUAAAAAUCUAUAAGACAACACUUUUUAGCUUUACUGUCAUAGUAUCACAUUAAGGCUAUAACUAUUUUAGAAUUCAGUACACCAUCACCCUUAUUGAAAAGCAGUGAUCUCUGAGUUUGAAAUGGAAAUAUGGACUAUUCCAAAGAGCGAUUUUUCUAUUGUUUAUGGACAAAAAAAAAAAUCAGCAAUUAGUAUAUAAAACACAUGCAGCGAUUGAUAUUUGAGGCUUCUUUGAGGGAGAGUUGGCUAUAUUGCUUUAUUAUAUCAAAACAGUUUUUCAAAUAUACCAUUGUAGCAACACUUAGAGAACACAGGCACUGGUCAGUCAGUAAAAUAAUGAAAAAAUGUUCAAAACAAAGAAUGUUGCAGAAUUCCUACCCUGUUUGUUUUGAAAUGCUAUUUGCUUCCAGCUCGUUUGCCACUUUCUGCUUGGCCACACACAUGCGCUCAGCUCACUGCUCAACGAGGGAGAGAAACAGAAAGAAAGAUCACAGACAGAAAGGCUCAGGGGUGCCAUGUUAGUCAUUACCCCCUUAGCUCGUCCCCAAACACUUUCCUCCCAGAGCAGACCCACGCUAAAUCACGUCCCCACCUGCUACAAUUGCUUAUCAUGAUACUCGGCAUAAUUAAUGAUGCCAUUAAUCUUCAUUAAAGUUUAUAAGGCCUGCCAGCCACAAAACAGCCCCAGUGGGGUUUUUCUUUGUACCCUUUUUUUAAACCCAGGAUACAGAUAGUAUUCAUGGCUAAAAUGUUUGAUUUUAGUAUCGUCUGACCAGAAAACAAGAUUCUAACUGUAGUUCCAAUGAGGCUUUGUGAAGUGAACUUCUUUUGUGCAAAUCUGUACACAAGUGUCCUCUUCCUAGCAAUUCUUUUAACCCCGAUAGCACUGUAGAACUGUUUGUGUAUUAUUUAUAUUUAGCAUCUGUCUUUUUUAUUAUUUAUGACUCUAUUAUUUAAGUGUUUUCAUCCUUGUGAUGGAUGACAAACAGAUAUAACCUCGUGUGCAACCUCAUGAUUGGUCAAAAGCAAUAAUACAGGGGACUGGGGACCAUGUAUUAAGCUGUUUGUGCCAGAUUUCCGUCGUAAUUAUGCCACAUUCUGUGCAAAGAAUUCUGUAUGUAAUGUAAGAAACUGACGUAUAAGCCUAAAUGUACAGUUUAUGCAGGGCUUCUCUCCCUCAUCAGGAGUGGGUAGUCAGUACAAAAAAGGGUAUAGAAAUGGAAAGUGCAGCUGAUUGUGUUUAAUUUACUAAACUCUGGACAAUUAGCAGUGGCCAGUUUUGUGUGUGAAUUGUGUAAAUUGGUGCCAUUCGUGCUGUGCAGAAGGCAAUAUAGAUAAUGCCUGGGUGCGUGCCUGCAAAAACUGAAUACUUUUGGACUGCUGAUGCAGGUUGUUUUCAUUAGCAUAAAUACUAUUUUUAUUCAUUAGCAUAAAUACUAUUUAUUAAUGACAAAAUAUAUCCUAAUGUGAGAUCAUAUUAGGACCUUUGUGGAAGAACUGUUCAGGCAAAAUACUCAUUUUAAUGCUGCUUCUCCAGUAGAAGCAUUUGUGUAGAUAUCACUUGUCAGUUGCCCGUAAUUCUGGAGACUGUAAUUAUGCUUUUAGUAUGCUGUUUCAUUUUGUGAUAAAUAAAUCUGGUUAAGAGAUUGGCUCAGUAUUUCCUUAAUUUCUCAUUUCAAGGUAAUUCCAUUUGAAUUAUAAUGCAUGCCAUACAGAGUAAAUAAAAACAACUCUUAAAUUCAAAUACUGCUCAUCUGUCAUUGGUUGUACCUGUAUUCUGAGUAUUAUCAUAAUCUAAGUGGCAGUUACUUCAAAAUGUUAAACCAACAGGGGUCAUUUUACAGAGCUUAUAAAUAGGUGCCAUACUUCUGGCUACAGAGAUAUAAAGGAGGCAGUAGUGCACAUUUGGUUACAUGUACGAAAAAUACAAUGAAAAUUUGUUCCUUUUCAAUUCCUUCUAGAUGGUUUCCUUCAUAACUACUGGAGUAUUCAUUUCCAUUUGCUUGUUUCCUUGCCGAGUACCAACAGCAAAGUCGUCACCUCAUAACCAUGUGUUAUGACUGAAGUCAGAAGCCUAUUAAAGGUUCCUAUCUCUCAGCCAGUGUUCAACUCCAAUGGGAGAGAACUGCUUCCAUCAGAGAAGAAUUCACUGUCAGGCUAAAAAGUUACAGAAUGCAAGAAUAUCAGAUUGUGAUGUGGAAAUGUAAACAUUCUGAGGAUAUCAAAAAACGUAUUAAAGUAUUAAAGAAAACAGGUCAAAACUGAAUUGUUCAAAUGAGGCUAGAAGGGUACAAAUCCAAAAGAUAUGGGGUAAAAUUGCUGGGGUUUGCACUUGAGAUUAGAGUUAAUCUUGGCAAGUUUAGCCUUCGUACAAUAAGCACGAUGAACAAAUUUCAUGUUUUAAUAUCAUGUUUACACAUUACAACUGAGUAUGGACCCCUCUAACUGCCAGUGGAUUGUAGACUUCCUGGCAGACAGGAGGCAGUUUGUGUUGCUGGGUCCCUACUAAUCAGAACCCCUAUCCAUCAGCACCAGUGCUCCACAAGUCUUUGUACUCUCACCUCUCCUUUACACCUUGUACACCAACAUAUACACGUCCAGCAACCCUUACAUCAAGCUGCUCAAAUCCGCGGAUGACACAACCCUACCUUGCCUCAUUAGCAACAAUGAUGCAUCUGUCUACAGGAGGGAAGUGGCUCGUCUGGCAUUGUGGUGCACUAAAAAACAAACCUUCAUAAGAACACACCUCUCCAUCUCCCCCAGGAAAUCAACAAUAUUGCAGUGAGUAAGGGAGAGUUGUUCAAAUUCCUAGGCACCAACAUCUCCAAAAAUCUCAAAUGAGAAAUAAUCAGAACAAUAACCAAAAAAAGCUCAUCAGCUAAUGUUUUUCUACUGAAGUUUUUUCUGCAGAUCUACCAUCGAGAACAUCUUAAUUUCAUUGAUAACCGUGUCGUUCAGCUCAGCACCUUCCUGCUUAAAGCCAGACUGCAGAGAAUUGUGCACCCAGCAGAACAUCUGACUGGUCACCAAGCAGUUGUCAGUCCACGAGCUGCAUGACACUGAGGCCAAGAAGCGACCUGGAUCUUACUCACCUAGAAAACUGUCUGUUUCAGAAACUCCCCUCAGGUUAACAGUACCGCUCCAUCAGAACCAGAACCACACAAAAUCUAAACGUUUUUUUCUCAACAGCAGUCAAUCUCAAAAGGCUGAAUACCCCUUGUAUUUGUUUUGUAUUUACUGUGUUUAUUGUAUUAUGACACACUUUACCUGUUUGCCUUAUUACAUGUUCUUGCACUGAUCUGUUAAAUUCCUGUGUACUUUGUACAUUGGGAGAAUAAAG